This 407-nucleotide long non-coding RNA is filed under the name Oncorhynchus mykiss (rainbow trout). RNAcentral's name for it is "lncRNA (ENSOMYG00000059911.1)". The record is from RNAcentral. Lineage: Eukaryota; Metazoa; Chordata; Actinopteri; Salmoniformes; Salmonidae.
GUUCCCAGGUGCACAUGGGCCGUUUUGGGUGACCAGGUGCACGCCGGCCUUUGGGUGACCAGGUGCACAUGGGCCGUUUGGGUGACCAGGUGCACACGGGUCUUUUGGGUGACCAGGUGCACAUGGGCCGUUUGGGUGACCAGGUGCACACGGGUCUUUUGGGUGACCAGGUGCACAUGGGCCGUUUGGGUGACCAGGUGCACACGGGUCUUUUGGGUGACCAGGUGCACAUGGGCCGUUUGGGUGACCAGGUGCACGCCGGCCUUUGGGUGACCAGGUGCACAUGGGCCGUUUGGGUUCCCAGGUGCACAUGGGCCGUUUUGGGUGACCAGGUGCACGCCGGCCUUUGGGUGACCAGGUGCACACGGUCCUUUUGGGUGACCAGGUGCACAUGGUCCUUUGGGUGA